UACGGGGGAUGCAAGCGUUAUCCGGAUUUAUUGGGCGUAAAGGGAACGCAGGCGGUCUUUUAAGUCUGAUGUGAAAGCCUUCGGCUUAACCGGAGCAGUGCAUUGGAAACUGGGAGACUUGAGUGCAGAAGAGGAGAGUGGAACUCCAUGUGUAGCGGUGAAAUGCGUAGAUAUAUGGAAGAACACCAGUGGCGAGAGCGGCUCUCUGGUCUGUAACUGACGCUGAGGUUCGAAAGCGUGGGUAGCAAACAGG
RNAcentral lists this ribosomal RNA (253 nucleotides) under uncultured bacterium. Its description in RNAcentral is "partial 16S ribosomal RNA". It matches the Rfam family "Bacterial small subunit ribosomal RNA", at positions 524 to 776 of the family's 1533-position model. The record is from RNAcentral.